This is a long non-coding RNA of Armigeres subalbatus, 632 nucleotides long. RefSeq lists it as uncharacterized. The record is from RefSeq and is a predicted model, not a curated record. The transcript is spliced from 3 exons. Lineage: Eukaryota; Metazoa; Arthropoda; Insecta; Diptera; Culicidae.
ACCUGUGCCUGAGCGCAUGAACUAUGAGCAGGAAAAAAUAUUUUUCCUGCUAACUUCACAUUUUGGGCUUUUUUCCUGCUAGCUUCACAAUAUUGAGCUUUUUGCCGGCUGAUUUCACAGGUCGAGCUUUUUUCCUGCUGAGUUCGAAUCCAUACAGUUUCGCGUAGUGAUGUUUUUAAUUUCAAAUUAUUUUAAUCAAAAUGAAUAGUAUGUACCAUAAUAAGUGAAAUAAUGUCUGGAAUGUGUCUAUAUAUGACAGCGACGAAAUCAGCAGCAAUCGCUAGGAGCAAAGUAUAGCCACGUCAUGGGUAUAAAAAGUACAUAUUUAGUGCGGACUUUUAACGAAAUCUUGAGCCGAAGAAAAAAGAAGGACAUCAGGCCAUUUCCAGAUAAUCUGUUUAUUUCGGCGUUUCUGACUGAAGAGAAAUCCGUGGCGCAAUGACCAAAUAUCUGCACGAAGCGCACCCCAAAGAGCUGAAUCAUUUUAAGUCGAUUAGCAGCUGUUCGGAUGCUCUGGCCGAGGCUCUGGUCCUUUUGUUUGGAAAUCCGAUAAAGGAUCUAAUGUGUUCUAACUCUGAUCAAUUUUAACACAGAUAACUAAUAAAUAAUGAAAUAAACAUGCUGAAACUGUA